ACGAACGCUUGCGGCGUGCUUAAUCAUGCAAGUAGAACGUGAAGAAGGAGCUUGCUCUUCUGAAGAGUUGCGAACGGGUGAGUAACGCGUAGGUAACCUGCUUGUAGCGGGGGAUAACUAUUGGAAACGAUAGCUAAUACCGCAUAACAAUGGGUGACCCAUGUCAUUUAUUUGAAAGGGGCAAAUGCUCCAUACAAGAUGGACCUGCGUUGUAUUAGCUAGUAGGUGAGGUAACGGCUCACCUAGGCGACGAUACAUAGCCGACCUGAGAGGGUGAUCGGCCACACUGGGACUGAGACACGGCCCAGACUCCUACGGGAGGCAGCAGUAGGGAAUCUUCGGCAAUGGGGCAACCCUGACCGAGCAACGCCGCGUGAGUGAAGAAGGUUUUCGGAUCGUAAAGCUCUGUUGUAAGUCAAGAACGAGUGUGAGAGUGGAAAGUUCACACUGUGACGGUAGCUUACCAGAAAGGGCGGG
RNAcentral lists this ribosomal RNA (477 nucleotides) under Streptococcus salivarius. Its description in RNAcentral is "bacterial SSU rRNA". It matches the Rfam family "Bacterial small subunit ribosomal RNA", at positions 29 to 496 of the family's 1533-position model. The record is from RNAcentral. Lineage: Bacteria; Bacillati; Bacillota; Bacilli; Lactobacillales; Streptococcaceae.